GGCAUUUGCUGAACAACCAAAGUGGAUUAUUUUACAACCAUGGACAUUAUGACAAUUACUAGAAUUUGCUCUAGAAUGGCUGUUUUUUUAAAUUUUAUUUUUAAGUUAAUAAUUAUGGAUAUCUUAAAAUUUGGAGAUAAUAACAGUUUCCUCCUGUCUUAUAGGGAGGGUGAGGUUAGUGGGUAUAUAACCACAAAUUUCACUAUUUCACUACCACAAUUAAUUUCUAGUCUGGAUAGAAUAAACUGGUACAGUAUUGAACAGAUUUGGAUGGCUUUAAAUUUCAUUUUAGGUCUACUGUCUAGGUGAUAUGCAGCGAUGCAUCGCGUUCCCAUUAAAAAGACUUGUCUAAAAUCGAUUCUGAAUCGUAAGGCUUCGUGUCAGUGUUUCAUGCACAGCUUGUGCAUGUACUACGGCUCCGUGAUCAGUAGGAAGUCCAUAUCAAUCUAAAAUCACUAUGUGUCUGACUCGUUUAUAAUGUGCAUUUAAAAAAGCAAACACUCGUCAAACACAAUCCUUCAAAAUAUUCUCUAGUAUCAUGAAAAUACCUGAAACAAUCCGAAGAGCAGCGAUAUAAAUAUGCCUGUAGAUAUUUCCUGGAAUAGUGUUUGUAAUGAUACUUCUUCUGUGGCACAAAUGGAGUUUCUGCACGAGAGCGCCCUCUGGAUUUUGAAUGUGGCGGCAUUUCACCGUAAUUCAUUCAAAUUCAUUCAUUGAGAAAACGCGCAUUUGCCCGAUUAAGUGUCACAACCCUACUACUGUCAUAGUCUGUUCUAUACAUUUAUCGGUUUUAUAUAAAAAAAAUAUGAAAAAAAAUAAUAAAAAUAAAAAAAUAAUAAAAAAAAUAAUAAACCUAUAUGUAGCUAUAUGAAACUAUAUCUAUUUAAAGUAAAUAAAAAUAAAUUUUUAUUUACUUUAAAUUAUUCAUAAUUAUUAUAUUAAAAAUUUUAUAAAAUAAUAUUACAAAAUCUUUAGUUAAAUACAAUUGGUAUUUUCCACCAGCCCUGACAUCCCAAUAGGCUUUAUGCCCAGCUGCACUACUUCCUGAACUUCAUCCAGCUCCUGGCUGAAGUUCAGGAAGUAGUGCAGCUGGGCAUAAAGCCUAUUAACCCUGGAAGCACACUUACAGCCCAAAAUCAUUCAAGGUCAGAAUAUAGGUGUUGUGGUGUGUCCCUGCAGGGUUCAUAAAAGUUUCAGUUGUCAUAUAAAGUCCAUAGUUGUAAAAUAACCCACUGUUCAGCAGUGUCCCGAAGAGAGAUUUUGUCAAUCCGAAACAUCACCUUGUGUUCGGUUGUCUGGAGCAGAUAUCUAGGGGCAGGAGAGGUGCUGAAAUCUUCAACAUCUACAUCAAGGACCUGCACCUCUCACAUCAUCUCUGCACCAUACUGAAAAACAUCUACAGCAGAAUCUGCUUCAUGUCUGUGCCUGACUUGACAAUAUUCAAACUCUCUUCGUAUGGAGUCGUGGCCUAAUGCUUAGAGAGUCUGGCUUGUAUCCCGAGAGUUGCAACCUCGAGGCUCACAGCCAGCGGGUUACGACUUAUGAGCCCUGAAGUGGCAAGAACCAAGCACCUAUCACUGCUCCACUGCUCCGUGUGUGUUUUCUCUACUCACCAGAUGGGUUAAAUGCAGAGGUGUAUAAAAAAAAAUAUAACGCUUUUGAUGAUUCUGGAAACAAAAAUAAAUAAUAAACUCUUUUUUUCUCUUU
Long non-coding RNA from Paramisgurnus dabryanus, 1707 nucleotides. RefSeq lists it as uncharacterized. The record is from RefSeq and is a predicted model, not a curated record. NCBI's taxonomy places the organism in Eukaryota, Metazoa, Chordata, Actinopteri, Cypriniformes, Cobitidae.